AGCUGAGUGGCGCAGCGGAAGCGCGCCGGGCUCAUAACCCGGAGGACAUCGGAUCGAAACCGAUCUCAGCUA
Molecule: transfer RNA, 72 nt
Organism: Pyrenochaeta sp. DS3sAY3a
Lineage: Eukaryota; Fungi; Ascomycota; Dothideomycetes; Pleosporales; Cucurbitariaceae
Rfam family: tRNA
About the family: Transfer RNA (tRNA) molecules are approximately 80 nucleotides in length.
Source: Rfam